This 959-nucleotide ribosomal RNA is filed under the name Symbiodinium sp. CCMP2430. RNAcentral's name for it is "partial Bacterial large subunit ribosomal RNA". It matches the Rfam family "Bacterial large subunit ribosomal RNA", at positions 23 to 1055 of the family's 2925-position model. Lineage: Eukaryota; Dinophyceae; Suessiales; Symbiodiniaceae. The record is from RNAcentral.
GGUGGAUGCCUUGGCGACAAGAGGCGAUGAAAGACGUGAUACGCUGCGAUAAGCCAUGGGGAGCUGCGAAUAAGCUUUGAUCCGUGGAUUUCUGAAUGGGGCAACCCACUCCGUAUGGAGUACCCUUUAAUGGGAGCAAACCCGGGGAACUGAAACAUCUAAGUACCCGGAGGAAAGGACAUCAACCGAGACUCCGCUAGUAGUGGCGAGCGAACGCGGACCAGGCCAGUGCCUCAAUUGAAUUAACCGGAACCGUCUGGAAAGUCGGGCCUUAGUGGGUGAUAGCCCCGUACGGGUGUUGUGAGAUUGAGGACUUGAGUAGGGCGGGACACGUGAAAUCCUGUCUGAACAUGGGGGGACCACCCUCCAAGCCUAAGUACUCCUUGUCGACCGAUAGCGAACAAGUACCGUGAGGGAAAGGUGAAAAGCACCCCGACGAGGGGAGUGAAACAGACCCUGAAACCGGAUGCCUACAAACAGUUGGAGGGCUUCGUGCCUGACAGCGUACCUUUUGUAUAAUGGGUCAGCGACUUAAUUUAACGAGCAAGCUUAAGCCGAUAGGUGUAGGCGCAGCGAAAGCGAGUCUGAAUAGGGCGCAUGAGUUAGAUGGAUCAGACCCGAAACCGAGUGAUCUAGGCAUGGCCAGGUUGAAGGUUGGGUAACACCAACUGGAGGACCGAACCCACAUCCGUUGAAAAGGAUCGGGAUGAGCUGUGCCUAGGGGUGAAAGGCCAAUCAAACUCGGAGAUAGCUGGUUCUCUGCGAAAUCUAUUUAGGUAGAGCGUCAUCCGAAUACCCCCGGGGGUAGAGCACUGGAUGGGUAAUGGGGCCCCACAGGCUUACUGAUCCUAACCAAACUCCGAAUACCGAGAAGUUCAGUCUGGCAGACAGACCGUGGGUGCUAAGGUCCAUGGUCGAGAGGGAAACAGCCCAGACCGCCAGCUAAGGUCCCCAAGUCA